RNAcentral lists this ribosomal RNA (465 nucleotides) under uncultured bacterium. Its description in RNAcentral is "bacterial SSU rRNA". It matches the Rfam family "Bacterial small subunit ribosomal RNA", at positions 338 to 795 of the family's 1533-position model. The record is from RNAcentral.
CCUACGGGAGGCAGCAGUGGGGAAUUUUGGACAAUGGGCGCAAGCCUGAUCCAGCCAUUCCGCGUGCAGGACGAAGGCCUUCGGGUUGUAAACUGCUUUUGUACAGAACGAAAAGCUCUGGGUUAAUACCCUGGGGUCAUGACGGUACUGUAAGAAUAAGCACCGGCUAACUACGUGCCAGCAGCCGCGGUAAUACGUAGGGUGCGAGCGUUAAUCGGAAUUACUGGGCGUAAAGCGUGCGCAGGCGGUUAUGUAAGACAGAGGUGAAAUCCCCGGGCUCAACCUGGGAACUGCCUUUGUGACUGCAUAGCUAGAGUACGGCAGAGGGGGAUGGAAUUCCGCGUGUAGCAGUGAAAUGCGUAGAUAUGCGGAGGAACACCGAUGGCGAAGGCAAUCCCCUGGGCCUGUACUGACGCUCAUGCACGAAAGCGUGGGGAGCAAACAGGAUUAGAUACCCCUGUAGUC